Long non-coding RNA from Saccostrea cuccullata (small rock oyster), 1584 nucleotides. RefSeq lists it as uncharacterized. The transcript is spliced from 2 exons. The record is from RefSeq and is a predicted model, not a curated record. NCBI's taxonomy places the organism in Eukaryota, Metazoa, Mollusca, Bivalvia, Ostreida, Ostreidae.
UAGUGAUUUAACUGCUGUUUUGUUCUACUCGUGAAAAUUAGUAAGAUAUUAGGAUGUAAUUUAAAUGCAAGUCAGCGAUUUAACUGCUGUUUUGUUAUACUCACGAUAAAUAUUUUGAUACUCACUAAGUAUGUAGUGUAAAUACAGGUCAGUGAUUUCACUGCUGUUUUGUUCUACUCUUACAAUUAAAAAUACCGUAAGGAACAUGUUAAUUCCCACAUUGACAGGUCAGUGAAUACCUGCUGUUGGAUAUCUAAAUACUCCUCGUCUGACUUUGCUUACUUGCUGGCUCAAUAAACAAUACUUUUCGAUAUGUCAUUUUCUCUGAAAUUAGUUUUCUUCCAUACUUACAUGUAUUACUCAAUAUUGUUAUUUAUUAACAUUGCUCGGAUAUUAUAUUAAUACCGGUAUUUCCUCCAUUAUUUGACAUGUAACUACAUUUUAGUGAUAACUGGUAAUGGAAUAAUUAAUGAAAGGUAGAAUUUUGUUUUUCAUUUCAUUACUUUAAGAUGUUUGGAGAGGCCAGUGAUUAACUGCCUUCAUAUAGAUUUGAUGUGUGCAAGCUCACCUUGGAUGGCACGGAUGUGAUUUGCAUGUCACAUCUUACAUGGAUGUGACCUGCAUAUCACAUCUUGUGGCCUAUUUUAUUUUGAUGUGCCAUCUAUUUGCUAACUUUUUAAUAUGAUGUUUUGAUUGUCUUGUCUUACAGAUACUUUUUUAUAGUCAGUUUUGGGGGAUCAGACAUUAUCAUAUUUUACGUAACUGAUAAGCAAAGCUUGUGAAUCUGAUCCCCCUUCUUGUUUGUUAAAUUGUUCACAUUUAUACCGUCAUUUUAAUAAAUGACAUUUUUCAUCAACAUCAAAGUGUUUUAUUUGACUUUACAAAAUUAGCAAAAACAAGCUGCGGUGAUCUUGCCUAUAAGCAUUAGAAGACAUAAAACAGCAAUUAUUAGAAUAAUAAUUGUAUUUAUGUAUUUAAUGCGAUAAUUCGUUUGGAGGUUUUCGGAAACAUUUACGUUAGUAAAUUGUGAAAAUUCUCAGAUCCACGCCUUGCCUAAUUGUAAUGGAAUGUGUAAGGUCACGUGGUCAGCUCAGCGAGUCAUUCACACUCGCGCGCUCACCACCGCUAACAUGAAGCACGUCUAUUUUGAAGACCCACCUCCACCCCAACAUUCCUAUCCCUUAAUAUGAUCAUUAAUGUGUCAUGUAAAAUUUAUAUUAUAUUAUAGUUUUUACUCAAUUGUUUUACGCUUUCAUGUAUUUGGUUUUGAUUAUGAUCUUUUUGCAAACUUUUUCUUUUGAGGUUUUGUUGGUGUCUUUGAUGUACCAUCUUUUUGCCAACUUUUUCUUGUGAUGUUUGCCUAUUUUAUUUUGAUGUGCCAUCUAUUUGCUAACUUUUUAAUAUGAUGUUUUGAUUGUCUUGUCUUACAGAUACUUUUUUAUAGUCAGUUUUGGGGGAUCAGACAUUAUCAUAUUUUACGUAACUGAUAAGCAAAGCUUGUGAAUCUGAUCCCCCUUCUUGUUUGUUAAAUUGUUCACAUUUAUACCGUCAUUUUAAUAAAUGACAUUUUUCAUCAACAUCAAA